RNAcentral lists this ribosomal RNA (524 nucleotides) under uncultured bacterium. Its description in RNAcentral is "partial 16S ribosomal RNA". It matches the Rfam family "Bacterial small subunit ribosomal RNA", at positions 28 to 523 of the family's 1533-position model. The record is from RNAcentral.
GACGAACGCUGGCGGCGUGCCUAAUACAUGCAAGUCGAACGAAGCUGUUUUAACUGGUGCUUGCACCGACUUAAACAACUGAGUGGCGAACGGGUGAGUAACACGUGGGUAACCUGCCCCGAAGCGGGGGAUAACAUUUGGAAACAGAUGCUAAUACCGCAUAACCACAGAAACCACAUGGUUUCUGUGUCAAAGAUGGUUUCGGCUAUCACUUUGGGAUGGACCCGCGGCGUAUUAGCUAGUUGGUAAGGUAAUGGCUUACCAAGGCAAUGAUACGUAGCCGAACUGAGAGGUUGAUCGGCCACAUUGGGACUGAGACACGGCCCAAACUCCUACGGGAGGCAGCAGUAGGGAAUCUUCCACAAUGGACGAAAGUCUGAUGGAGCAACGCCGCGUGAGCGAAGAAGGUUUUCGGAUCGUAAAACUCUGUUGUCAGAGAAGAACGUGUGCGAGAGUAACUGUUCGUGCAGUGACGGUAUCUGGCCAGAAAGCCACGGCUAACUACGUGCCAGCAGCCGCCGUAA